RNAcentral lists this ribosomal RNA (427 nucleotides) under Croceibacter sp. Ar-116. RNAcentral describes it as "bacterial SSU rRNA". It matches the Rfam family "Bacterial small subunit ribosomal RNA", at positions 68 to 490 of the family's 1533-position model. The record is from RNAcentral. Lineage: Bacteria; Pseudomonadati; Bacteroidota; Flavobacteriia; Flavobacteriales; Flavobacteriaceae.
GCGGGAAGGAGCUUGCUCCUUUGCCGGCGAGUGGCGCACGGGUGCGUAACGCGUAUACAACCUACCUUAUACAGGGGUAUAGCCCAGGGAAACUUGGAUUAACACCCCAUAGUAAUAUGUUUUGGCAUCAUUACAUAUUUAAAACUACGGUGGUAUAAGAUGGGUAUGCGUCCCAUUAGCUUGUUGGUGUGGUAACGGCACACCAAGGCUACGAUGGGUAGGGGCCCUGAGAGGGGGAUCCCCCACACUGGUACUGAGACACGGACCAGACUCCUACGGGAGGCAGCAGUGAGGAAUAUUGGACAAUGGGCGGGAGCCUGAUCCAGCCAUGCCGCGUGCAGGAAGACUGCCCUAUGGGUUGUAAACUGCUUUUAUACGGGAAGAAACCCACCUACGUGUAGGUGGCUGACGGUACCGUAAGAAUAAG